Molecule: ribosomal RNA, 253 nt
Filed under: uncultured bacterium
Lineage: Bacteria
Description: partial 16S ribosomal RNA
Rfam family: Bacterial small subunit ribosomal RNA
Source: RNAcentral
UACGGGGGGGGCAAGCGUUGUUCGGAAUUACUGGGCGUAAAGGGCCAGUAGGCGGCCAACUAAGUCGGAUGUGAAAUCCCCAGGCUCAACUUGGGAACUGCGUCUGAUACUGGAUGGCUUGAAUUCGGGAGAGGGAUGCAGAAUUCCAGGUGUAGCGGUGAAAUGCGUAGAUAUUGGGAGGAACACCAGUGGCGAAGGCGGCCACCUGGACCGGUUCUGACGCUGAUGCGCGAAAGCGUGGGUAGCAAACAGG